UCAGAAUCUCAUUAUCCACGCGACUUACAUUUCCUGCCGCCGCUUUUACUGACAUGAUGUGCAUUUUAUAUUAAUACAUGCCUAAGCAAUAGGAGGAAGAAUAUGGAUGAAAAAUAAAUUCAGUCCGAUUCAAAUAAAAUAAUAUCUAUUUGAGUGAAUUUUAGGAAUUUUUAAAGUGAUACAAUGGCGGUGGGCAAGUCCUGGAUUUUCUUCUUUUUGUCAGUAUCGCUGGCUUGGAAACGAACACACGCGCUGAUGAAUUUGACGAUCAUCCAACCAGCGUUUGUCGGCCGCGAUGUGAAAUUACAACUGUUCAUAGAAAACGGGCUUAAUCUGUCCUUCUCAAAAGAAAACAUGGAAAUGAGGGUGAAGUUGCAUAACGAGUCACACUUUAAAGUGAUCGAAUCCUAUCGGAUUCAGGAUGUGACAAUUGCAGCCGUCACAAUGAUAUUGAUAAAUGUGAACAAGAGUUGGAACAUGGCGCAUGUCCAAGUAAACUGCUCAGGGAUGGUGUCCAAUACAGGGCAACUGAUCUUGCAGAGUCAACCGGAACUUAGCCCUUUCUGUUUACCGGAUGUCUGCGCUAGUUGCCUGUGUGUAUACCCAGGAGAUUCACCACGAUGUGAAACAUCGGGAACCAACGUUUCUCUAUUGCUUGAUGGUCACCUGAUUGCCAUUAAAAGCGAUGGGCAUAUCUACACCGCACGUGAUAUUGCUAUCACGGAUGGGGAUCACCAAAGGGAAAUUGAUUGCACGGCUUCGUUUGCAGAUAGCCUCGUUACAUUCUCUGCAAAAGCUACGGUCUUUGUUAUCUUACCACCUGCUUUCUCCACGCUGCACAUCUCCGAGCUGAGAGAAGGGGCGCCGUCAAAUGUAACGUGCGUCGCAUCGCAUGGCAGACCGCCACCGAAACUGCGCAUGUACUUGGACGAGGAUAUGGUGAAUGGUUCCAAUCAGGUCGACAGAUACGACAUUCAGUCACAGACCUACAGCAGUAUUAUCAGUCUCACUUCCGUGGACAGAGCUUGGAAUAAGAAGGUUUUAAAGUGCACGUGUUUGGUACUGGGAAAAGGCUUGGAAUACGUACCACAUUCCUCAGCGACAGGCAUUGUAGAUUACCAAUAUCCACCAUCUAUGGUUCAGCUAUUCAUUACGAAAACACCAGCAAAGAGUCCAUUCUUGUACAGUGCACGUGUAGAAUGUCUUGCCCAUGACUUUAACGCUGUGUGUUCAAUUGAUUGGACUUCUGACAUCAGCAAUCUUAAGCUCGGCGCUCAAAGUCACGUGUCGAAUACAAGUGCUGCGUCCAAGGUGCAGCUUGACGUAUCUGCAGAGAUGGAAGGACGACAGAUAGGUUGCCGUGUACACUGUGGAGAAUUCGACGCUGAUAUCACCAAUUAUCUAAUCUUGGGUGAUACCUCUGACACAAAUAGUAGUUCUGGCAACUUCUUCCUUAUGUCGUUGGUGCUGACCAUUGCUGCAGAACUAGUGACGCUGAUGUUUUGCGGUUUACUGAUUUACUGUAUUGUGUCCAAAUGCAAUCAAUGUCGACGGGAGUCAAAGAAAAUUACUCAAUACACGUUACCUGGAGAUGUAGAGUCGGAGCAGGAACAAUACCGGGAUAACAUGCACAGCCAGGAAAAUACUAACCAAGAUUAUCGUGCAAUCGAAGAGAACCAACAAGGGGCAACUGGAGCCAGUCAGGUACAACCAGCCGGGAGGAAAGAUACGAAUAUGCCAGAAAACUUUGUGAAUUCGACACAAAUGGAAGCGACUGAAAUACAGGAUACAGCACUACCAGAACCCGCAGAUGACAUUUAUAUGAACGACCCAUAUUAUAUUGAUGUCGAAGAAUCAUUGGAAGAAUACGUGAACGAUAUACAGAUCUCUUACCAAGCCAAAUAAAUUAAGCGUCCAUUUGUCAUGAAAUUCUUCUUACUGCCAAUUUACAUCUACCUCUGACACAAGUAUGGCAGUUGUCGGUUACUUGCAUAAGUAUGUGCACUCAGUUUUGUUGAGCCAGCUACCACAGGAAAGUGUGAGUUGGUAACCUGACCACCGUGAUAUGAUUGGAAUACCUAAUGAUAAUUACUACUACUACUACUACUACUUACUUAACAGCACAGGCACACAUCGGAAAAGAAUAAAUCUCGACCGCCCUACGUCAGAGCUGUACGUUAACAUAACCUAUAAAGUUGGGAUUCAACAGCCAUCUGAGGACGAUAUCUACGCCAAUGGCCCGGAUCAGCAAUGAAUUUACGUGCCCUUGGGGACGUGAAUUACCAUCCUUAAAAAUUGUUUGCACACAAAGUCAAUGUCAUACUAACCUGUGUUAUUUACCGCAAAUAAUUAUGGGUAUUUAACAAACUAUUUUCAAUAUCCAAUAUGAAUGACUCUUACUUUCGAUAUGGAACAAUACACAAUGAAAAUGUUUUAAACUUGUUUUAUUGACUCAAACAAUAUGUCAGUUGUUAGAGUGAGUUACUAGUUUGUCGGGGAUCGUAAGUUCAAACCCCAUACCGGCCGUAAGUGAGUUACCAGCAAUUGCAUAAAUAGUUUAAUUUAUUAACUGGUGUAUUUCUAUCGCAAACAAGCGGAUACGAAGUACGAAGUGAUGUUAAGGUUUGUAUACAAUGAUCUUUAAUCGUUUAAAGGGAUCUUUUCACGCUUUGGUAAAUUGACAAAAUUGAAAAAAGUUGUUUCAGAUUCGCACAUUUUCGUUUUAGUUAUGAUAUUUGUGAGGAAACAGUAAUACUGAACAUUUACCAUGGUCUAAUAUAGCCAUUAUAUGCAUCUUUUGACGAUUUUAAAACCUAAAAAUUAUAAAGCGUUGCAACGCGAAACGAUUGAAUAAUUUGGAGAGUUCUGUUUUUGUCGUUAAAUUUUGUGAAACUACGAAGAUUGCUUAUAUAAGGUAUAAAAUACGUCAAGUAUGUGUUCUCGGCGGAAUAGCUCAGUAGGCUAAAGCGUUUUUACUUCAGGACUCUGGCAGGACUCCAGGGGUCACUGGUUCGAAACCUGCUCCGGGCAAUGUUCUAUUCCUUUUUUUAAUUUUAUUCUUGAUUUUUUACUGGAGCUUUUACGAUCCAAUGUUUACAUUUAUCAAUAUAAAGCAUUUAAUGAAUAAGUUAAAAAAGCCAAAAUCUGUGAAAAGGCCCCUUUAAGGCGCUUCAUUGCGUAAUGCGCUGUAACAUUGGAGCGACUUUGUGCUCCGAGUUUUGUGCGAGUUCUGCGGUCUUAAAGCGGAAGAGAUCGUCGAUUGAAUUGCUUGGAAGAGACAUUGGAUCAAGUUAAUUUUAACUUUUUUUUCGAUAUGCAAAAUCGUUUCGACAAGUAAUACCUACUUCCAGAGUUUACGUGUUUAUGCAAAUCUAAACAACCAAACAAGCAGCAAACUCUUGCCAUGUAUUUUAAUUGAGUAAAUGUUUUAUAAUGUUAUGUUAUUAUUCUCAUUCUUGCUUCAUAAUAUAAUGUGUAUUUUUUAGUAUGAAGAUGUACUAUAGUAUAAGUAUAAAUACACUGUGUCUGUCUGUCUGUGUGUCCGUCUGGUAGAAAGAUUGCAAUCUGACAGAAAUAAAGCUAUGUAUAUACCUUAAGAAUUAAUCCACACAAACCUGUUGGUUAUUAUUACGAUUAAUAUCGUACGUGUGAACACACUUGAAUUCUCGCACUGCAAAUACUUCUAUUGUAACUUCUUUUUAUUGAAUAAAUGAAAUAUGUCGUACACACUCGUC
Dreissena polymorpha is the source of this 3734-nucleotide RNA transcript. RefSeq lists it as uncharacterized. The transcript has 14 exons. NCBI's taxonomy places the organism in Eukaryota, Metazoa, Mollusca, Bivalvia, Myida, Dreissenidae. The record is from RefSeq and is a predicted model, not a curated record.